UACGGCGGAUCCGAGCGUUAUCCGGAUUUAUUGGGUUUAAAGGGUGCGUAGGUUGUUUUUUAAGUCAGCGGUGAAAGUUUGUGGCUCAACCAUAAAAUUGCCGUUGAAACUGGAAGACUUGAGUGUGUUUGAGGUAGGCGGAAUGCGUGGUGUAGCGGUGAAAUGCAUAGAUAUCACACAGAACACCGAUUGCGAAGGCAUCUGACGAAUCGGAGAUUGACGCUGAGGCACGAAAGCGCGGGGAUCGAACAGG
This 253-nucleotide ribosomal RNA is filed under the name uncultured Parabacteroides sp. RNAcentral's name for it is "partial 16S ribosomal RNA". It matches the Rfam family "Bacterial small subunit ribosomal RNA", at positions 524 to 776 of the family's 1533-position model. Lineage: Bacteria; Pseudomonadati; Bacteroidota; Bacteroidia; Bacteroidales; Tannerellaceae. The record is from RNAcentral.